UGCAGUCGAGGGGCAGCGGAAGAAGUAGCUUGCUACUUCUGCCGGCGACCGGCGCACGGGUGCGUAACGCGUAUGCAACCUACCUUUAACAGGGGGAUAAUCCGAAGAAAUUUGGUCUAAUACCCCAUAAUAUUUCAGAAGGCAUCUUUUGAGGUUGAAAACUCCGGUGGUUAAAGAUGGGCAUGCGUUGUAUUAGCUAGAUGGUGAGGUAACGGCUCACCAUUGCGAUGAUACAUAGGGGGACUGAGAGGUUUUCCCCCCACACUGGUACUGAGACACGGACCAGACUCCUACGGGAGGCAGCAGUGAGGAAUAUUGGUCAAUGGACGCAAGUCUGAACCAGCCAUGCCGCGUGCAGGAUGAAGGUGCUAUGCAUUGUAAACUGCUUUUGUACGAGGGUAAAUUCAGAUACGUGUAUCUGUUUGAAAGUAUCGUACGAAUAAGGAUCGGCUAACUCCGUGCCAGCAGCCGCGGUAAUACGGAGGAUCCGAGCGUUAUCCGGAUUUAUUGGGUUUAAAGGGUGCGUAGGCGGUUUGAUAAGUUAGAGGUGAAAGCUCGAUGCUCAACAUCGAAAUUGCCUCUGAUACUGUCAGACUAGAGUGUAGUUGCGGAAGGCGGAAUGUGUGGUGUAGCGGUGAAAUGCUUAGAUAUCACACAGAACACCGAUUGCGAAGGCAGCUUUCCAAGCUAUUACUGACGCUGAGGCACGAAAGCGUGGGUAGCGAACAGGAUUAGAUACCCUGGUAGUCCACGCCGUAAACGAUGAUAACUCGUUGCCGGCGAUAUAGUGUCGGUGACUAAGCGAA
RNAcentral lists this ribosomal RNA (806 nucleotides) under uncultured bacterium. RNAcentral describes it as "bacterial SSU rRNA". It matches the Rfam family "Bacterial small subunit ribosomal RNA", at positions 56 to 855 of the family's 1533-position model. The record is from RNAcentral.